RNAcentral lists this transfer RNA (69 nucleotides) under Pelodiscus sinensis (Chinese soft-shelled turtle). It matches the Rfam family "tRNA". From Rfam's summary of the family: Transfer RNA (tRNA) molecules are approximately 80 nucleotides in length. Their secondary structure includes four short double-helical elements and three loops (D, anti-codon, and T loops). Further hydrogen bonds mediate the characteristic L-shaped molecular structure. tRNAs have two regions of fundamental functional importance: the anti-codon, which is responsible for specific mRNA codon recognition, and the 3' end, to which the tRNAs corresponding amino acid is attached (by aminoacyl-tRNA synthetases). tRNAs cope with the degeneracy of the genetic code in two manners: having more than one tRNA (with a specific anti-codon) for a particular amino acid; and 'wobble' base-pairing, i.e. permitting non-standard base-pairing at the 3rd anti-codon position. Lineage: Eukaryota; Metazoa; Chordata; Testudines; Trionychidae. The record is from Rfam by way of RNAcentral.
GACUUCAUGGCCUAAAAGACAAGGUGUCUGACUUUUGGUCAGAAGAUUGAAGGUUCAAGUCCCUUUGCA